CAGUCGCCACGGUAAUACGGAGGGUGCAAGCGUUAAUCGGAAUUACUGGGCGUAAAGCGCACGCAGGCGGUUUGUUAAGUCAGAUGUGAAAUCCCCGAGCUUAACUUGGGAACUGCAUUUGAAACUGGCAAGCUAGAGUCUUAUAGAGGGGGGUAGAAUUCCAGGUGUAGCGGUGAAAUGCGUAGAGAUCUGGAGGAAUACCGGUGGCGAAGGCGGCCCCCUGGACAAAGACUGACGCUCAGGUGCGAAAGCGUGGGGAGCAAACAGGAUUAGAUCCCCUGUAGUCCCUGUCUCUUAUACA
This 301-nucleotide ribosomal RNA is filed under the name uncultured bacterium. RNAcentral describes it as "partial 16S ribosomal RNA". It matches the Rfam family "Bacterial small subunit ribosomal RNA", at positions 509 to 808 of the family's 1533-position model. The record is from RNAcentral.